ACGAACGCUGGCGGCGUGCUUCACACAUGCCAGUCGCACGGAAAGGCCCUGCUUGCAGGGUACUCGAGUGGCGAACGGGUGAGUAACACGUGGGUGAUCUGCCCUGCACUUCGGGAUAAGCCUGGGAAACUGGGUCUAAUACCGGAUAGGAGCCAUUUUUAGUGUGAUGGUUGGAAAGUUUUUUCGGUGUAGGAUGAGCUCGCGGCCUAUCAGCUUGUUGGUGGGGUAAUGGCCUACCAAGGCGGCGACGGGUAGCCGGCCUGAGAGGGUGGACGGCCACAUUGGGACUGAGAGACGGCCCAGACUCCUACGGGAGGCAGCAGUGGGGAAUAUUGCACAAUGGGCGCAAGCCUGAUGCAGCGACGCCGCGGGGGGGAGGACGGCCUUCGGGUUGUAAACUCCUUUCGCUAGGGACGAAGCUUUUUGUGACGGUACCUAGAUAAGAAGCACCGGCUAACUACGUG
This 464-nucleotide ribosomal RNA is filed under the name uncultured bacterium. Its description in RNAcentral is "partial 16S ribosomal RNA". It matches the Rfam family "Bacterial small subunit ribosomal RNA", at positions 29 to 507 of the family's 1533-position model. The record is from RNAcentral.